AUUGAACGCUGGCGGCAGGCCUAACACAUGCAAGUCGAACGAGUGGCGGACGGGUGAGUAAUGUCUGGGAAACUGCCUGAUGGAGGGGGAUAACUACUGGAAACGGUAGCUAAUACCGCAUACCAUCAGAUGUGCCCAGAUGGGAUUAGCUAGUGGGUGGGGUAACGGCUCACCAAGGCGACGAUCCCUAGCUGGUCUGAGAGGAUGACCAGCCACACUGGAACUGAGAAACGGUCCAGACUCCUAAGCGAGGCAGCAGUGGUGAAUAUUGCACAAUGGGCGCAAGCCUGAUGCAUCCAGGCCGCGUGUAUGAAGAAGGCCUUCGGGUUGUAAAGUACUUUCAGCGGGGCGGCGUUACCCGCAGAAGAAGCACCGGCUAACUCCGUGCCAGCAGCCGCGGUAAUUG
RNAcentral lists this ribosomal RNA (406 nucleotides) under uncultured bacterium. RNAcentral describes it as "partial 16S ribosomal RNA". It matches the Rfam family "Bacterial small subunit ribosomal RNA", at positions 30 to 527 of the family's 1533-position model. The record is from RNAcentral.